GUCAUAGUGAAGAGCAUUGUGUUAUAGAAAAUCAUCUUCCUACAUAAUUGCAAUGAGGCUGGAGUGAUAUACUUUGUAAAAAUCGUCAACGAUCAGUUUGUGAAAUGAUGAAGAUCUACUUAUGAAUCAACACUUUUCAUGGACAUGUGUUUGGAUUAGAAUUCAUUAUUCUAGAGCUAGCUCAUAAGUUCUUUUUUAUGAAAGACAUUCCAUAGACUUUUAGGUAUGUGGUCAACUAUUCCACUUUUGAGGAAAUGUUAGUGUUGCAUAUGGAAUUUAUCAGUUUACUUCCUACAGAGUUCCUAAUACAAUAAUUGUGGAGGACUUUUACUUAAUGUACAAUGAGUUUACUACAUCAUUAUGGUACAGAAUUUUCAAAAGAUACAUUUUACUCAAAAUGCCUUUGACUGCCUAGGUAAAGAGAGUAAUUGAACAGGAAUGAAAUAUUUUAUCCUGUGUCUAGCUAGUGCUGGAACUCUUCUCUUCACUCUACCUUUUGUUGUAUGAGUGUGUUUCGGUGUCUUUUACUUAUGUGUCUCUAGAGCAUCUUUACAUCAAUGUGUGUGAACAGGUUUUAUGUGAGGUUUGUGUUUAAAGAGCUAUAUAGAAUCAGAAACCAUCCUACUGAGUGCUAAUUACUGAAAAGGAUUGUAAGAAAUAAUACAGUAGUUAUGGUUUUAAGCCACUAAGAUUUUGGGUAGAAUGUUCAGUACUGGGGAGAAUACUUUUACUUUCAAGCAUCUAUCAGUUUUUAGAAAUGAUAAUGUUGAAGCUGGCUGAUUCUCUGAAGGUGGAGAUUUGCUACAACUGACAACCCUGUAGAUCCCUUUGGAUGUAAAUUUUAUUCAGAUGAUUUUAAUUCUGAAACAUGGAUUAUGCUAAAGAUUAGAUAUGAGGUAUCUCCCAAAAGUUUAUGUGUGUGACAAUGAAAGAAGGUUUAGAGUUGACAAGAUGGGAUAUGAGAGCCUUCACCCAAUCAGUGCAUUAAUCCCCUGAUAGGGACUAAAUAAAUGGUAAGUGUAGGCAUGUAGGGUGUGGCUGAAAGAGGUGAGUCACUGAGAGUGUGCCUUUGAGGUGGGUAUUUUGUUGUGGUGGGAGGAUUAUGUUUUUUUUUCUCUGUCUCUGCUUCCUGAUGGGCAUGUCCUGAGCCACUUUCCUCCUCUACACCUUUCUCCUCUGAUGGUCUAUUUCACUUCAUGCCCAGAGCAAUGGGAGCUAGCCAUCUAUGGACUGAGACCUUUGAAUGCAUGAGCCCCAGAUGAACUUUUUCUCCUCUUAAAUUGUUUUUUGUCAGGUAUUUUGAUCACAGCAGAAAAAAGCUGACUAAAACAGAUUAGUAGUCCUUUAUUUGCCUACAUGGAAAUCAUCAGUAGUGCACACUUGCUGGGGAUGAGCUGAAUGAUUCAAGGACAGAAGAAAUGUUGAGGCACAGUCCAGCUGUUUUAAAGCAAUUGUUCAGUGUAAAGGUUUGAUGAAAUAUUGUGUAAUAAAAUUUUGGAUGAAAUGCUUUGGAGAAAUUAAAAAUGUUGUAAAUGGAAUUUUUAAAAUGAGGAACCAGCUUUAAGGACUGUGGUUCAUGUUUGCUGUCUAUGCAUCCCUUCUUCCUCAAAAAAAUAUUUCAAUAUUGUUGAAAGUCGCACUUUCCUUCUUGAAGCUCAUGUGACUUGGGAUGUGUGAGUGAGUAUGGAUUAAUCCAAGUCAACAAUCAUACUAGUGGUUGGUUUAGGAAUAGCAUGAAUUGUUAGUUCUGCUAAGAAAUUGCUUCUUCCUCUUCUCAGAGGAAUCAGGGAGUGAAUCUCCCUCUCCUAAUGAACAUGAAGAAUCCUGUUCACAACUGACAGUCAUACUGUAACCACAAGGGGAAGUAGUCUUCAAAUGAUAGAAACACCAUGGAUGGCAGAGUCGAGCCAUGGGAAGGACCUGAUUAUUUAAGUUCUUUGUGGGUCACUGAAUGGACUAUUUUCACAGCAUAGCCUACUAUGAGGUUUUAUUGUGAAGGCUAAUAAAUUUCUAAUUAUUUGUCAGAUUGAAUCCUGAUGGAUUUAAGAAAAUAUAUUACUUUUAGUGACUAGAUUUUAUUGAGCUAUAGUUUACAUAAGUAAAAGGCACACACUUUCCGAGUAUAGUUCCAUGAUUUUGUCAGGUGUGUGCAAACCUGUAACCACCAUGAUUAUCUACAAUAAAGAUUUCUAGCACUGCCCAAUGUUCCCUGUCCUAACAGUAUGAAUGCAAUGUUCUUAUUCCUGCUUUUCAAAUUCCAUAUAAAGCAGAUAACAAAGUUUGUUUUUUCUUUUUACUUUCCUUAUCUCAAUAUGUUUGUAG
This 2322-nucleotide long non-coding RNA is filed under the name Marmota monax (woodchuck). The record is from RNAcentral. Lineage: Eukaryota; Metazoa; Chordata; Mammalia; Rodentia; Sciuridae.